RNA transcript from Asparagus officinalis (garden asparagus), 1343 nucleotides. It is a transcript of the gene named heavy metal-associated isoprenylated plant protein 7-like, with no coding region annotated. Lineage: Eukaryota; Viridiplantae; Streptophyta; Magnoliopsida; Asparagales; Asparagaceae. The transcript has 9 exons. The record is from RefSeq and is a predicted model, not a curated record.
GUGAAAGGUUUAGAUUCUCCCAUCCCCUAUCUAUAUAGACCUUCAAACAUCCAAUUUCAGAGGAAGAGAAAGAGAGGAAAGCCAAGGCGAAGAGAAGAGCAAGUCCUAAGGCUCUCUUUUUUCCUUGGUAACUUUACAAAAAGGAAGAAAUACACACACAAGUGUUAUAAAGGUUCUAUCUUGUAUUCUCUAGCUCCUAAAAAUCAUGGGUGAAGAACAGAAGGAAGAAGGGGAAAACAAGGAAGAGGUGAAAGAGGCAGAGAAGAAGGAAGAAGAGCCAUCAGAGAUUGUGCUAAAAGUUGAUAUGCACUGCGAGGGUUGUGCAAGAAAAGUGGAAAAAUCACUUAGAAAAUGCGAUGGUGUGGAGGAAGUGAAGAUAGAGAGCAAGCUUAGAAGGGCUGUGGUGAAGGGAAAGGAAGUUGACCCUUUCAAGCUGUGUGAGAGAGUCCAAAAGAAGACUGGAAGGAAAGCAGAGGUACUCUCACCGCUCCCAGAGCCUCCGCCUCCUGAAGAAGAGCAAAAGAAAGAAGCAGCACCCCUAGAAGAGAACAAGCAAGAGCCAAAGCCGAUUACGGUGGUCCUGAAGAUUAGAAUGCAUUGCGAGGCUUGUGCUCAGGUGUUACAAAAGCGGAUCAAGAAAAUGGAAGGUGUGGAAUCAGUUGUGACUGAUCUAUGGAACGAACAAGUUAUAGUCAAAGGCUUCAUAGACCCAGAGAACUUAGUUGACUUUAUCUACAGAAGAACCCGAAGGCGAGCCUCGAUAGUCAUCGACGAGAAGGAGGAGGAAGAACCAGAAAAGAAUGAAGAAGAGAAGAAAGAAGGAGAUGAAGGAGAAAAGGGCACGAAUGACGAUGCCAAGAAAAUGGAAUAUUGGCCUCCCAAAUAUUACCUAGAGAAGAGAAGUAGGUCUAGCAUGAAGUUUUCAGGAGUAGUUUCUUAAGGAGUAGUUUCUAGUUUUCAGGGUUUGGUGAUUUUGAUGGAUUCUUAGCUAAUUCAAGUAAGGAGUGCUUGUCUCAUCUCAAAGAACGAGUCACUAAAACGGCAGAAGAAAGGCUCUGAUGUAAGGUCAAGCGUGAUAUUGUGCUGAGAGUGCUUGUGCUUUGGUCUCACCUUUUUCGGUUCUCAUUGUCAUUUGAUAUAGCUUGCUGCUUUGUCGAAUGAUUGUAGCUUAUAUGUAAGGGUUAAUUGCAUAUACUCUCUGUGGUAUCGUUUUUAAAUUGCAACCCCUGUAGUGUACACUGUUGCAGAUGUGCCCUUGGGUUAAAAUUGUGACUGUUUUACCUUUGGACUUACUAAUUUCUAGCUGAAGUCAAACAAAAGGAUAUUGGAUUCGUUUGAUGUUA